AUCUUGCGCAAUGGGGGAAACCCUGACGCAGCGACGCCGCGUGUGGGAUGAAGGCCCUAGGGUUGUAAACCACUUUCAGCAGGGAAGAUUAUGACGGUACCUGCAGAAGAAGCCCCGGCCAACUACGUGCCAGCAGCCGCGGUAAUACGUAGGGGGCGAGCGUUGUCCGGAAUUAUUGGGCGUAAAGAGCUCGUAGGCGGUUCGGCAAGUCGGAAGUGAAAACUCCAGGCUCAACCUGGAGAGGCCUUUCGAUACUGCCGUGACUAGAAUCCGGUAGAGGAGUGUGGAAUUCCCGGUGUAGCGGUGAAAUGCGCAGAGAUCGGGAGGAACACCAGUAGCGAAGGCGGCACUCUGGGCCGGUAUUGACGCUGAGGAGCGAAAGCGUGGGGAGCGAACAGGA
Molecule: ribosomal RNA, 400 nt
Filed under: uncultured bacterium
Lineage: Bacteria
Description: bacterial SSU rRNA
Rfam family: Bacterial small subunit ribosomal RNA
Source: RNAcentral